CCAGCACGAUACUGACGCUCAGUCACGAAAGCGUGGGUAGCAAAUAGGAUUAGAUACCCUAGUAGUCCACGCCGUAAACGAUGAUGACUAACUAUUCCCGUGAGGGAGUGGUGAAGCUAACGCAUUAAGUCAUCCGCCUGGGGAGUACGGUCGCAAGACUGAAACUUAAAGGAAUUGACGGGACCCCGCACAAGUAGUGGAGCAUGUGGUUUAAUUCGACGCUACGCGGAAAACCUUACCAGGGCUUGACAUGGAGGCUAACAACUUAGAGAUAAGCGAAUAUACGCCUCACACAGGUGGUGCAUGGUUGUCGUCAGCUCGUGUCGUGAGAUGUUGGGUUAAGUCCCGCAACGAGCGCAACCCUUGUCGCUAGUUACCAUCAUUCAGUUGGGAACUCUAGCGAGACUGCCGAUGCAAAUCGGAGGAAGGUGGGGAUGACGUCAAAUCAGCAUGCCCUUUAUGUCCUGGGCUACACACGUGCUACAAUGGCCGGUACAGAGAGAUGCAAGAUCGCGAGAUGGAGCAAAUCCCACAAAGCCGGUCUCAGUUCAGAUUGGAGUCUGCAAUUCGACUCCAUGAAGGCGGAAUACUAGUAAUCGC
RNAcentral lists this ribosomal RNA (600 nucleotides) under uncultured bacterium. RNAcentral's name for it is "bacterial SSU rRNA". It matches the Rfam family "Bacterial small subunit ribosomal RNA", at positions 729 to 1345 of the family's 1533-position model. The record is from RNAcentral.